RNAcentral lists this unclassified non-coding RNA (352 nucleotides) under soil metagenome. RNAcentral describes it as "partial contains 5.8S ribosomal RNA, internal transcribed spacer 2, and large subunit ribosomal RNA". The stretch from base 1 to 120 matches the Rfam family "5.8S ribosomal RNA", at positions 35 to 154 of the family's 154-position model. The record is from RNAcentral.
GAUGAAGAACGUAGCGAAAUGCGAUAAGUAAUGUGAAUUGCAGAAUUCAGUGAAUCAUCGAAUCUUUGAACGCACAUUGCGCCCGCCAGUAUUCUGGCGGGCAUGCCUGUUCGAGCGUCAUUACAACCCUCAGGCCCCCGGGCCUGGCGUUGGGGAUCGGCGGAGCCCCCCGUGGGCACACGCCGUCCCCCAAAUACAGUGGCGGACCCGCCGCAGCUUCCAUCGCGUAGUAGCUAACACCUCGCGACUGGAGAGCGGCGCGGCCACGCCGUAAAACACCCAACUCUUCUGAAGUUGACCUCGAAUCAGGUAGGAAUACCCGCUGAACUUAAGCAUAUCAAUAAGCGGAGGA